UGGAUGGAUGGAUGGAUGGAGUAUACAAAGUCUUGAAGACCACUCAGACCACUCUUGUACAGAGAGGAGACGUAUUCUUCAGGAUUCGAAGAAAUUGGACUGCCCAGCCAGAAUCUUUGUAGGCCAUCUGAUCAGAUUCCCUGGUCACAAGAUACCUGGGGAACUGCAGAAACAGAGGACGGAGAGCGCCAAACAUUUAAAAUUCCGGUAACACUUUAGUAUGG
Long non-coding RNA from Lampris incognitus (smalleye Pacific opah), 224 nucleotides. RefSeq lists it as uncharacterized. The record is from RefSeq and is a predicted model, not a curated record. NCBI's taxonomy places the organism in Eukaryota, Metazoa, Chordata, Actinopteri, Lampriformes, Lampridae. The transcript has 3 exons.